AGAACAAGUAUCCAUUGCCGAGGAUUGAUGAUCUAUUUGAUCAACUCCAGGGAUCUUGUGUAUAUUCCAAGAUUGACUUGCAGUCGGGAUAUCACCAGUUGAGAAUCAGACCUGAGGAUGUGUCGAAGACGGCUUUUAGAACACGGUAUGGACAUUAUGAAUUCACCGUUAUGCCGUUUGGGCUUACUAAUGCCCCGGCAGCUUUUAUGGAUCUGAUGAACCGUGUUUUCAAGCCUUAUUUAGAUAGUUUCGUUGUAGUGUUUAUCGACGACAUCUUAGUGUAUUCCCGGAGUGACGCGGAUCACGAGGAACACUUGAGACUUGUACUUCAAGUGCUUCGGGAAAAGAAGCUCUAUGCCAAGUUGAAAAAGUGUGAAUUUUGGCUUAGAGAGGUGGCGUUUUUGGGCCAUGUGAUUUCAGGAUCAGGCAUAGCCGUGGACCCGAGGAAAAUUGAAGCUAUCAAGGAUUGGCCGAGGCCGACGAGCGUGACCGAGAUACGGAGCUUCAUUGGUUUGGCCGGCUACUACCGACGGUUUGUCGAGGGAUUUGCUAAGUUAUCUACUCCCCUCACAAGACUCACGCAUAAGGGCACCAAGUUUAUUUGGAACGAUGCGUGUGAAAGGAGCUUCCAAGAGUUGAAGCAGCGAUUGACGACUGCCCCGAUCCUUACCUUGCCGACUACUGGAGCAGGGUAUGUGAUUUAUAGUGAUGCUUCCUUUAAUGGAUUGGGCUGUGUUUUGAUGCAGGACGGGAAAGUGAUCGCGUAUGCAUCUCGCCAAUUGAAGGAUUAUGAAAGGAAUUAUCCCACUCACGACUUGGAGUUGGCGGCCGUAGUCUUUGCAUUGAAGCUAUGGCGCCAUUACCUCUAUGGCGAGCGAUGCGAAGUAUAUACGGAUCACAAGAGCUUAAAAUAUCUUUUCACUCAGAAGGAGCUGAACUUGAGGCAGCGCAGAUGGUUGGAGCUACUCAAGGAUUAUGACUUGACUAUACUUUACCACCCGGGCAAGGCUAACGUGGUGGCGGACGCGCUAAGUCGGAAAUCGACUGAGAACUUAGCGAUGCUUGUGGUUACUCAACCGCCGUUGAUCGAGCAGAUGAAGCGGUUGGAGUUGGAGCUGGUGGCUCCUGAUACACCUUUGAGACUGAUGACACUGGUGGUGCAACCUACGCUUUUGGAAAGGAUUAAAGAAAAGCAAGCUUCCGACUCGGAGCUGCAAAAGAUUCGAGCUAAGAUGGUUGAUGGUUGCACCGGUGACUUCACUUUAGACGGUGAUGGAUUGAUGCGUUUCCGCGGACGACUUUGUGUACCGGCGGACUUGGGCAUUAAAGAGGACAUUCUUCAAGAGGCACACCGAGCACCGUAUGCUAUACAUCCGGGAGGCACCAAGAUGUAUAAGGAUUUGAAACUACUUUAUUGGUGGCCCGGGAUGAAAAAGGAUGUUGGUGAGUUUCUUGCCAGAUGUUUGACUUGCCAACAGGUGAAGGCGGAGCACCGAGUUCCUGCGGGAAAAUUGCAAAGCCUGCCGAUUCCAGUGUGGAAGUGGGAGAAGAUCACCAUGGAUUUCGUGAUGGGAUUGCCUCGCUCACAGGCUGGGCACGACGCAAUUUGGGUGAUUGUGGAUAGAUUGACGAAAUCGGCGCAUUUCAUACCUAUUCAUACUACUUGGACUGGUAAGAGACUCGCACAGAUUUAUUUGGAUGAGAUUGUGCGAUUGCACGGGGUACCUACUUCUAUAGUAUCGGAUCGAGACCCACGUUUUGUAUCCCACUUUUGGAAGAGCUUACAGGACGCUCUGGGUACGCGUUUGGACUUCAGUACAGCUUUCCACCCCCCGAGUGACGGGCAGUCGGAGCGUACGAUACAGACUCUUGAGGAUAUGCUUCGAGCCUGCGUGAUCGACUUCCAGGGAGGAUGGUCGCAGCAUCUACCGAUGGCCGAGUUUGCUUAUAACAACAGUUAUCAAGCAAGCAUCAAGAUGGCACCAUUCGAGGCACUCUAUGGACGGAAGUGUAGGUCGCCGCUUCAUUGGAGUGAAGUUGGCGAGAGAUUGGCCUUAGGCCCAGAUGUGCUCCAGGAAGCAGAGGACAAGGUUCGUAUUGCUCGGGAGCGAUUGUUGACAGCCCAGAGUAGGCAGAGGAGUUAUGCUGAUCGGCGUCGACGAGACUUGGAGUUUCAUAUUGGAGACCAUGUGUUCUUAAAAGUCUCGCCGACCAAAGGAAUUAGAAGAUAUGGAAUCCGCGGUAAGUUGAGCCCCUGAUACAUUGGACCGUUUGAGGUUUUGGAACGGAUAGGCCCGGUAGUGUAUCGACUCGCUCUACCGCCAAACCUAUCGGGUGUACACAAUGUGUUNNNNNNNNNNNNNNNNNNNNNNNNNNNNNNNNNNNNNNNNNNNNNNNNNNNNNNNNNNNNNNNNNNNNNNNNNNNNNNNNNNNNNNNNNNNNNNNNNNNNNNNNNNNNNNNNNNNNNNNNNNNNNNNNNNNNNNNNNNNNNNNNNNNNNNNNNNNNNNNNNNNNNNNNNNNNNNNNNNNNNNNNNNNNNNNNNNNNNNNNNNNNNNNNNNNNNNNNNNNNNNNNNNNNNNNNNNNNNNNNNNNNNNNNNNNNNNNNNNNNNNNNNNNNNNNNNNNNNNNNNNNNNNNNNNNNNNNNNNNNNNNNNNNNNNNNNNNNNNNNNNNNNNNNNNNNNNNNNNNNNNNNNNNNNNNNNNNNNNNNNNNNNNNNNNNNNNNNNNNNNNNNNNNNNNNNNNNNNNNNNNNNNNNNNNNNNNNNNNNNNNNNNNNNNNNNNNNNNNNNNNNNNNNNNNNNNNNNNNNNNNNNNNNNNNNNNNNNNNNNNNNNNNNNNNNNNNNNNNNNNNNNNNNNNNNNNNNNNNNNNNNNNNNNNNNNNNNNNNNNNNNNNNNNNNNNNNNNNNNNNNNNNNNNNNNNNNNNNNNNCAUGUGUGAACCUAGUGGAUAGGGCCAUUGAGGGACAUGGGAUGCACGUUGGAUAUCAAAUUGCCUAAGUGUCAUCAAGGGGCACUAGGCGUAGCAAAAGCUGAAAAUUCACAUUAUGCCUUAAACUAGAUCUUCGGGAUGCUAGUGACUAUACCAUGUUAGAGACAUGAGGAUUGGAUACUUGAGACUUGGACUUUGCUUGCUUGCCAUUUGUGCUCAUUCGCACAUGCUUGUGAGGGUCGCUCCCUACAAGCCGGCACUCCGGAGUUAGCCUACGCGACUUAUGUACGCUCGUGCGGUAUUGAGAAGCCUACGGGGUCGAGUGGGACAGACACAUUCCAUGUGUAGGAAUGUCGAGCUACCACAGGCACUUAGGCGGCACAAGCUGGACUACCUUGGGUGGGUCCCUAAUUGGAAAUGGAAAUCGACACGGUUUGAGAAUGAACAAUCACUACUAGAUAGGUUUAGUAGUUGGAUUACAUUUACAUGCAUAUAACAUAGGGUUGAGACUUGUAGCAUACCUGACAGUUACCUAUUUCUAUUGGCCUAGUGGCCCUAAUCGUCUAUUAGAUUUUGAUGAUAACAAAUAAUCACGAUUAUUGGACUAAUCUUUUUAUCUUGAGUCUUGUGUUUUAGAUCUCUCUAUCUUCAAAAAUGAUUCAAGAUGGGCAAUAUUCUAGCACCAAGCUUCACCUCUUGAAGCUGUGUUUGCUUCUUUUGUCAAAUAGACAAACUCACUCUCUCCAUUCUUAAUUUGAUUAAUAUUAUGCUUAUGAUUAGAGUGAGAAACUUUGAGUUAAGUUUAAACUAUUCAUCUUAUCACCUUUUAGAUCACUUAAACAAAUUUCUAAAUUUAUGAUUAGGUGAAAAGGACUUUUAAAUAUUCAAAAAUUGCUCAAAUUCUGUGUUCUGUAAAGUUGCAAUUUCUGGACCCUGUUCUAGGCGCCCGAAAGUGGAUCCGAAUCUUUUGAAACCUUUUGGAUCCUGCCUGUUUGCUGUUCGGGUGAUCCAGAAACACCAAGAAUAUUUGACUUGACAGGUUGCGAAAACAGGCGGCGCGAAAUCUGGACGCCCAGAUUUUAUGGAAGUAGCGGCGCACGCAAUCUGGGCUGUCUGGCAAGAAAGUCAGCACGACUUUCUGGGCGCCCACAACUUUUGACGGCGCGAAUCCAGAAAAACGGCGCAUGUCAGAAAAGUUGCCCCUCGAGAUCUGGGCGCCCACAACUUUCUGACGGCCCAAAUCCAGAGGAAGCGGGGCCUGUCAGAAAAGCUGUUCCUCGUGUUCUGUGCGCCCACAACUUUUGACGGCCCAGAACUUACGAAGUCAAGAAAAGCUGCGCGUGUCAGAAAAGCUGUUCCUCGAGAUCUGGGCGCCCACAAAUUUUUGACGGCCCAAACAUACAAAGUCAAGAAAAGCGGCGCACGUGGUCUGACAGGCAGCUGGCGUGCACAAACUUCUGGGCGCCCGAAAACAGUUUUAGGGCGCCCGAAAGUACAACUGACAGAUCUGUCCGAGGCUAUAAAUAGAUGGUAUUGAGGCCUCACUCUGCAGCAACUUGAUAGUUCAUUUGAGCAUAAAAACAUCAGUGAUCUUAAUACUCUUAGCUCUCAAUUCUCUCUCUAAACUUGAGUGAAACUUGUAGUGAGAUUUAAUCUUGUAAAAAGAGAGAAAAGCAAAGUCUUGAAGCUUGAAAAAGAAGGUGUUGGUGUGAAGGCUUGGUGCUUGCCCGCAAAAGCAUCAUCUAGUGGAGAUCCAACAUUCUCGAGUGUUGAGAAGUUGGCGGGGACGUAGGCAAAGUGCCGAACCUCGAAACAAAUUGAUCCUGUGCUUUUCGAGUUUGCAUUUCCUUAAACUUCUCUCUUUUAUUUGCAUCGGGUUUUUAAUUGGUUUGAUUAUUUGGAUUUUUAUUUUAGAAACCUAAUUCACCCCCCUCUUAGGUUGUCAUUUCGAUCCUCAAUUGGUAUCAGAGCGAGGUCUCACAUUAUUUAGAUUAAAAUCUAAGUGAGAAUGGCAUCCACGGGAAAGAAUAUCGAAGGACAAUCUAUUGUUCGGCCACCAUUUUUUGAUGGGACCGAUUAUCCUUUUUGGAAGAUUAGAAUGAAGAUAUUCUUUCAAUCUCUAGAUUUUGAUAUUUGGGAUAUAAUCGAAAUUGGUUAUAUCGCUCCAUCAAAAUCAAGAGCGGAAUGGAAUGAAGCCGAAAAAUUUCGUUUUCAAUUAAAUGCUAAAGCUANUAUUUCACUCGUAUAUCUUGUGGAUUACUUGCUCUUCUUGUUGUUGGCACUGUUUGUGCCCUCGUUGAAUGUGUAUGUUUAGAGUUUAAAGUCCUGGGUAAAUUCUUGUACACAUUCUUGUUGUGGAGCAUUGGGCGGGCAGGGGAGGUGCUGUCCGUUCGGCGGUCUGUCACCGCGGCCGAACCGUGCCAAAUUGGUAGUGGUUUCGGGGCGGGGCGUGACAUAAAGCAUGCAUGUUCAGUGUUCUAAAAUUCACAUAAAUCAUAUUUAACAUGAAUUUACAUUCAAAAAUACUUUACAAAAAGUUUAGAAGGCAUAGGGGCCAUUUUGUCCUAUUUUCAUGAAGUCAAACCCACCGAUGACAACGAAACCCCUCGGUUGCUCCAACGAGGGUGUCCUCUAGUCUCCUAGCACCCUAAGGAUGUAGGAACAAGUGUCAAACAAGGCUUACGAACAAGGCUAAGCUCAAACAUUAAGCUUCUCUAGCUAGGUUGGAGAAAACUCACCGAAAGCUAAAGAAUCUCUCUCGAUCUCCAAAAGGGAAUUAGAUUCCUUCAAAUCCAACCUAAAUCAAAGUUCUAAACCAAUCAAUUUGGUUCCAAAGCCCUCAAAUCAAAAAUUCCCAUUUUUUAACCCUAAUAUGCCAAAUCUAGGGUUUGAUCUAGUAGAAGCUACCAAAACUUAAUCCAAAGAAAAGAUUAGGCUUACUAACCUCACAAAAAGCUCAAAACCAAGCUCCAAGUUCCCUAGGGUUGAAGGUUGAUCUCCAAAGAAGCUCCAACCAAGAUCUCAAGCUUCUUCAAUGGUGGAAAACCCACAAAAGCAAGAAAGAGUGGAGAAAAGAGAUCAAAACCCACAAAGAAAACCAUCAAAAAUGGAGAAGAAUCUAAAGGGGAGAAGUUCUCACCUAUUCUCCACUGGUCUAGGGCUCAAAAGAGCUCACAAGGGGGCUGGGGUGUGCUUAAAUAGAGGUUGCAACAAUUGCAAAAACACCCCCCACGAAACAGCCCAGAAUCUGCAUUGUGUACCGGUACACGGGAAAGUGUACCGGUACACCUCCUGCGAAACUGCCCAACCCGAGCCUCGGGUUGGCAGAAAAUCUAUUGUGUACCGGUACAACCAUCAAGGCGUACCCGUACAAAAUCUGUACCGGUACAACCAUCAAGGCUGUACCGGUACACAGCCUGGCUGAGGCUAAUCCGAGAGUACUCCAACAAUCCAACCUUUUGGAAUUUUGGUACAGGUUUAAACCCUCAAUUCUCGGGAUGCGAGCCAUAGGUCGGAACACUGUCUACGACCCUUCAGAAAGUCUGAAAUAGCUCGGCACACAGAUCAAACACUCGAACCUCGCGAUUUGCAGAGGUCCAGUGUGCUACAGGUGUACUCCGGAGUGUAGACACCACGGAGAGCGGCCCCGUCAUUUGUUCCCUCGGGUGGUAGUGCUAGUAGCCUCCCCCGAUAGACGGGAAUUGUGGUUUGUGAGAUUCGGGGUGAACCAGGAGUACCUCGGGAUGAUUGGGUAAAGGCCAAUAGAAAAAAAAAUGAAUAACAAAGGACAUACAUGCAUUAGAUUCAUGUAUUGAAUAUCUAUGUAAGGAAGUAAAUUCUCGAAAUACGAGAGUUGGGCUUCGGUUAGAAUCGACUGAUUGUCGACUUGGUGUGCUUCGGAAAAGCCGAAGGCAUCAAAAUGGCCAAGGGUACAUUGUUGGGGGUUUUCGAGAGUUAAAGAAUCAAAAAUCUGCAUACUGCAGCUUUUGAGCUCUCGGGGACCGGUCCCUGAUGGGAAAGACCGGUCCCCGAACGCGAAGAAUCUCAGAGAUGGGAAAAAUCGGCUAAGUCCCAGAAGAGCCGGCUCUCAGGAACCAGUCCCUGCGGGGAGAGUGUAAUAUAUGGAAUCUUGGAGUUGCGAUGUCAACUUUGAUCUGGGGGAUCAAAGAGAGGCUUGAGUUAGUUGGACAUCAUCCCCGAGUGAUUUUGAAUGCGUGGGAAUGAAUUCCGAAAAUAAAUAAGUGUUUCGGCACAAAUUGGGCGCGAAACGACUUCGAAGGAAAAUUGUUGGACUAUGAGGUUUCUGUUGAUUAAAGUGAGCAAAAUAAUAUAAAAUUAAGUGUGAAUAAAAAUGGGGUGAGAUACUAUUUUUAUUAGACUUAAGAGUGUAAAAUAUAAGUUUGGAAUGACUCGUGUUGAAAUCGGAGCGAAAACAGAAUAUUUAGAAUUUUCUGUAAAGAACGGGGCUGAUAUUUUAGCAGAAAAUGAACAGUGUCAGAAAAUUAUGAAAAUUGGAGAAUAUGUCAGAAUUAUUUUUAUGAGGCUAGAUUUAAAGUUUCAUGUUAUUCUGACACCCGGAAGAUAGAAAAUAAAAUCCGACUGUUAUCUACUAGAGAUAACAGUUCGGUAGAGCAUUCGGUGACCAAAAAUGGUCGGAACUGAAAGAUUAAAAUUUUUUUAGUUCUUGUUAUAUUAAAUUGAGUCUGACUGUCAAAUUUGAGCUCAAACGGAUAUUCAGAGGGUUCAGGCGAAAAGUAUCAGAUUCUGAAUUGAGAUCAUAUUUAAUUAAGGCUAUUGUAAAGGGUUUAUAUGCAAUUGUUUAGAGCUUAUCCAUAAAACCCAACCCUCCACUAGCUACCUGCGUACAGGAAGCUUCUCUCACCCUCUUUUUUUUUUAUCUUCUUCUCCUUCUCUCUCUAGAGGACUUGGGUUGAGAGCUUUGGGAGGGGAAUUAAAAGAGAAGUUGAAUGGAAACUUGGUGGAAUUGGAGAAGAUGUAGCUCCAGCCCAUGAGGAGCUCAAGUGGCCAUGAGUCAAAGUGGGUUAUCUUGUAAUUUCUGGUUGGGGCUUGAUGUAAAUCUCCUUUAGUACUUGUUUUUGAGGUUCUUAUGUGGUUUUCUUGAUUGGUUGAGCUUGUAGCUGCCAUGAAAAUCAUAGAAAAAGCUUUAUGUAUCAUGUGUGAAGGUUGGCAGAUGGGAAGUAGCUUGCUGAAAUUUGACAACCUGAGGUAAGGUUGUUAUAUUCUCUUGAUUAGGAUAUGUUAUUUACCCUAAUAAGGAUUAAGCUAUGGAUUCUUAAUUGCUAAAGUUAGUAGUUACCAUGAGAAACCUAGAGAAAGCCUAGAAUAGGCCUAUACACAUUGUGUAUAAGAACCUGGCAGGGAAAAGAAAAAAAAAUGAUGAGUAAAUUAUAAUUCCUGAUUAAGGUUGAUGAAUAUACCUUAAAGUAAUUAGUUUUGGAGUAGUAGAGUUCUUGAACUCUAAAACUUUUUAAAAGUUAGAGUUUAUGUUAUUAUGAAAAGGAACUUGGAGAAACCAUGUGACAGUACAUAUGAACUUUGGUUAAAAGAGUUAUCACGUAAAUUUGGGUUAGGGUUUGAUAUAAAAUCCUCUAAACUAAUUUGUUUGAAGUUCUUUGGUUGUUAGAGUUGGUGAUACUCUAUAGGUUCUUAUAGAACCUGUAUAGGAAAAUUUGUAUAGUAAUAGGUUAAUUGGAACCUAAGCUCGAUAAUGCACUUUUGUAGGAUUGAGGUUCUCGCUUGGAAAUGAUCGUGUAUAAACCUAAUUGGGGGUAAAGCGAACGCGUUGGUGAAGUCGGUUCAGCAAUCCGUCGAGCCUACGCGAAGAUAUCGCCAAAAGGACGUUUUCGGCAUCAAUUGUCGCGAGCGCGGAUCGCGAUUCUUGGGAGAGUGCGGGAAGUGGAUUUCUCGCGUUCCGGUAUCAAGUAAAGGUGGGUUGUGCUUUACCGAAGCGAUUAGGUCGCUUCCAUGCCAAAGUAAUUUAUGGUUUUUAUUGAUGCAUAUAUUUAUAGUGGUAGGUUAUGAANCGUUCCGGUAUCAAGUAAAGGUGGGUUGUGCUUUACCGAAGCGAUUAGGUCGCUUCCAUGCCAAAGUAAUUUAUGGUUUUUAUUGAUGCAUAUAUUUAUAGUGGUAGGUUAUGAAUGAUGAAAUGAAAGCAUGAAUUGUGAUAUAGUAGCUAAGUUACCUACCAUUGGAAUAUGCAUAUGAAUAUAUUGAUGAUCAUAUUGAAUGACAUAUGAAUACUGACCUAUUAUGAACAUGCUAGAUACAUAUGAAAUAAGUAUGAGUCGAUAACUCUAGUUGAUUAGAAAUCUCGACGGUGACAAAAUAAAUGAAAACGUGUAAACUAUGAUCCUAGGCGUGGAUAACUAGGAUAAUAUAUAGAUUAAGUGGCAUGAACCUAGUAUUAUUAAACAUAGGUUGGACAUGAACCUAGUGUCAUUGGAUAUAGGUCAAGUAAGUAAACCUAGAGUCGAGAUCUAGGUGAAAUGACAUAGAACCUAGCAAGUGAACCUAGGUUAUGAUGUAUAGUGAGACUUAGUGUAUCUGAACUAAGUUGUGGAUUUUAGUGGUAUAAUGACCACUAGGAAAUGAUUGAUUUAGACCUAGGAAGGUCGACAAUAUAGGGUAAGUGUUAAACCCUCAAGUUGUGGAAACAGAUUCCGGAAUCCCAAGACCUGUGACGACCUUGGUGUCAAGGCUAGGGCGUGUGCGACGAUUUCGCCGCCGAGGUUGAUACCAAUGGAGGAUUGGGUGUGUGCGCAGAGUUCACCACUCGGAGGCUUGAACCAUUGUUCGGCGUGUGCAACGAUUUCGCCGCCAGAUGGUUAAGCCAGCUUGUGAAUUAUGCCGCUAGAGAUUGACUUGAACCAUUGUUCGGCGUGUGCGACGAUUUCGCCGCCAUAUGGUUAAGUCAAUGAGUGCGGUGCCAGUGCGCGGUAGCCCGCAAAUGAUUGACUCGAGGCCGAGUCGGGCGGCUAGCUUGGUUAAGGCGGUAGAAGCCUUAAAAGCUAAAGAUAAAUAGCAAGAGCUAAGGAAGUGGAAUCCUUAGUAGCAAGGGGACUCGAAUUGUGAACCUAAGGUAGUAGAAACCUUAGAGCUAAACGACAUGAGCUAUGAUUAGCAGAAUUGAAUGUAGAAUCAAUAGAUCUACUUGUUACAUAGUUGCAUAAUUUGCAUAUUGCAUAUCGUGAGGCAUACAUGUUUUAAUAUCUAGAUAAAUUAUUUGUUAUUAUUUGUUGGACUAACAUGUUACAGUGCAUCCUUUGGACCUGGUGGGUCGAGCUCUUCCCUUGGGUGGCUGUACCCACUGGGAACUAUAUUUAUAUAGUUCUCACCCCCGUGUUGUUUUUGGGGGUACAGGUUCGUACGUGAGCGGCGCGGCGGCACGAGGAUAGGGCGUAGCUCCAUAGAUAGCGCCCUACCACUGAGACCGAGAUAGCAAUACCCUGAAGAGGUCUAGCUCAGUUCAGAUUAAAAGAAUCAAAUUUGUAGUAAAUUGUAUAAGUUGUAAUUUGUAAAAAGGCUUAUGUAAUAACUUAAAGGUAUUUGUGAUAUUGUAAAUUGUAAUAAAUCUCUGAGAUGAAUGCAUGUAAUAGCAUAGUUAGCAUUUUAUGUUUUUGAUACUUAUGCAAUCUAUAUGCUUGCUACUGUUCCUGGUUGGAACCUCGCGUAUUGCAUUGUUUAGAUUGUGACGCCUAGAACGUACAGGAAAAGCUCUGUCCAUUCGGCGGUCUGCCGGCGUGCCCGAAUCCGACCAAAUAGGCGGAGCUCGGGGGGUAACAGAGAGACCGGUCCCCGAGAGACCGGUUCUAUCAGGAGGGACCAGUUGUUCCAUGCGAAAGCUCCGCUGAGCUGCGGGAGAGCUCUCUGGGACCGGCCCCAUGCUCGAGAGACCGGUCCCCGUAGCCCGAAAUUUUCCAGGUUGGGCUGUGUCAUGUUGGUAAAGUUGAGGGGUUUUUAUGUAAUUGUAGCAUGAGUUGGGGCUAUAUGAGGGUGAGCUCUCUCUCUCUUUCUUAUUUCUCUCCCAACCUCAACCCUAACUCCCUCUCUCUCUCUAUACUCUCUUCCUCUCUCUCUAGAAGGUGAAGAAGAGAAUGGUUUUGGUAGAGAAUCAAGCUGGGAGAAGGAUUUUCAUCUUCUUCUUCUUCCUCUACACCUUGGAGCUAACUUUUGGAGGUGUUUAAACGCGUAGGCGAAGGCGGUUCGACGAUUCGUCGAGUGGGUGCAAAGUUACGGACAAAAAGGACCUUCCGAGCUUCGUUUCUACCUAGGAGGUCGAGACGACGUCGUAAAAUCGGCGAACUUCAUUCCUAGAGUUGUGACAACGCCAUGUUGUAGUAAGUUACAUCUUCACUUACCUUUCGCUUUUUUUACUUUUAUAGUCACUGACAUCUUUUGUAGCUUUGGGCCUCGUGGUGCAUUCACUGAAGUCAGUAAUUGCCCACUGGGAACUAUUUUUUUUAUAGUUCUCACGCCCCUGUUUUGUGGUUUACUUUUCAGAGCCUUUGGCACCUGCGGAGGCACGGGAUCGCGGCAAGGGGAUCGCUUAGCUAGCUAACGAGGAGCGGUACUUUGCCUAGGUGGUUUACUCUUUCUUUUGUAGUUGAGAGAGUGAGAGGUUUUUGUAUCCAUGUAUAGAGACCACCUAUGUAUCUACGUAUAGCACUUGUAUCUGGGAUUUCCUUGUAUCACUUUAUGUUUUAUUUAGUGGAUGUACAGUUUUAUCCUUAUCCCUUGUUGUAGCAUUUAGAUAUUUAUUAUGCUCUGAUACUCCUAGAUGUCUAUUGUUAUUGCUUUUAUUAUUGUUGUUUUUAGACGCCUUAUAUGUUUUAGACGUAUGGCGGGUUUGGGCACGUGCCGCGCGGGCUUCCGCUGGGUCCCGGGGCGUGACAGAUUAAUUUGGUAUCAGAGCGUAGGGUUGAGUCUUAGGGGACCUAGCAAACCUUAGGCCGGUUGGACUAUAGGAAUUAGACUCGUGAGAGACGGGGUCUAUUCGACUUGUAAGCGAAAGUAUCUUGAUUGGGUAUCUUGGAUAACUCUAGAAAGUGGAGUUAAAUCGAAGUGUUUGACUUCUAACUUCGCGGAGCGUUACGUUGGCGGCCGACAACGUAACAUCGGGAGUUAGUAGCGAAGAACACUUCUUUACUUUCGCAUGAUUUGGGGUUUGUCUUUUGAGCGGGGAUGCGAUAGUGUGAGUAUUUCUAACUUGCGCUUUUAUGAUGUUGUAGUGACGAUGCCGAUUACUCGCUCCCAAUCUGCCGGGGCGGACAAUGCGGCAAAUUUUGAGGAGGUCGAGACCUCCGCUACCUCCGGAUCCAGCGAGGUCCGUGAGUUGAGGGGCCAGCUUGCGGCCCUCACUGAUUUGGUCACUCAGCAGGCGGAGGCGGCCCGACAGCAGACUGAGGCGGCGCGCCGGCAGGAGGCGCGGAUGAAGCGUCUGGAGGACUUGCUCCUACAGCAGGCGACAGCUUCUAGGGAGACUCAGGCCCCUACACCACCAGCACCAGUUGUGGACGUUGCACCGAGAGCGCCGUCCCCCGCGCCCAGUUCUUCGCGUGCGGCGCCUGCGGCCGCACCCCCGGAGAAGGUUUUGGUAGCACCGCCUGUGCAGAGGCCCCCGGUUGGAGCAGCUUUCCCUACCUUGGUUGAGGGGGCGGAGCGAGAUAGACUGAUGGAGCACCUCAAUGAGUUCAGGAGGUGCAGCCCCCGAGUCUUCGACGGCGAGAAAGUCGACCACUGGAUCGUGGAGAAGUGGUUGAUGCAUAUGGAGAAGCUCUUCCGCGACACCUUCGUGGAGGAGAUGGACAGAGUUUGGCUCGCCACUCACCACUUGGACGGCGAGGCCUACCGCUGGUGGUUGGAUUUUCAGGAGCACCCCAGCACUGACUUGGCAUCUAUCACCUGGACGAGGUUCAAGGAGCUUCUUCUGGCGCACUAUUUCCCGACAAGCGUCAAGAGGAAGAUGGAGCAGGAUUUGCGCAGCUUGCGCCAGGGUGACAGGACCGUAGCCGAGUACGAGAGGGAGUUUUCUCGGCUUCUGCAUUGCGUGCCCUUCGUCGUGCGGGAUGACGAGGACAAGGCCCGCAUCUUCGAGCGAGGGUUGCGACCGGCGAUUUUCUGGUUUGUGCAAUCCUCUAACCUCCAAACCUACCGGGAGGUGGUGGAUCGCGCGCUCAUCGUGGAGAGCGGCGCAGCAGAGGUCCAGGAGCAGCGAGAGGCUAGGGACAAGGGUAAGGCCAAGAGGCCUGCGGCUGAGGGUGCGAGCCAGGCGCACUCUAGGAGGCCGCAGAAGCAUCCGAGGAGCCAGCACCGUGGACGCGGCUCAGCAGCACAGCGAGGAGGAUCUGAUCGGCGCCGGCCUUCCCCGUGUGUGAUCUGCGGUGGUCCCCAUUACCCACCGCAGUGUCCACAGCGGGCGGGUAGGUGCUUCCAGUGUGGCCAGGAGGGCCACGUCCGUACCGAGUGCCCGAGAUGUUCUUCACCGGCACCGUCGACUGCAUAGGCACCGGCUCUACCAGCCGGUGCCAGGGGACUUCAUUGGCACAGUAUCAGCCUGGGCGGCCACCCGUCCAGCGCCAGAGCGAGGGAUCUCGACAGGCCCCGAGUGGGCACAUGUACGCCGCUCAGACCGAGGAGGCGGCAGCAGCCGAGGAUGUGGUUGCAGGUAUCAUUUUACUUGAUGGCAUUAGAGUUCGUGCUUUAUUUGAUACCGGUGCAUCGCAUUCAUUCAUAGAUCAGCUGUUUGCCAAGUUGCAUGGCAUCCCGUUGGUUUCUUUGUUGCAUACGGGACACGUUGUACCCGACCAUAUUUUGGAUAUUAGAGAGUAUAGCCCCAGUUGCCCUGUUCGGGUAGGAAAUUGGAUUAUGGCUGUAGAUUUGCUAGCUUUGCGCAAGCUGGGGGAUUUUGACGUGGUCUUGGGCAUGGAUUGGUUGACCAAGUAUUAUGCUACGAUUGAUUGUAAGAAUCGCACGGUUACUUUUAGAGAACCGGGACAGACCGAGGUGGUAUUUCGUGGAUGCCGGAGUUCGCUGUUUGCAAUGACGAUCAGCUCAUCUCGAGCUAGGCAGCUGAUUAGCAGAGGUUGCGUAGCCUAUUUGGCUAGUGUUGUGCUGAGGGACGAGGAUGACACCCCUAGGAUCGAGGAUAUCCCAGUGGUACGAAAGUUCCAGGAUGUGUUUCCAGCUGAGCUACCGGGUAUGCCUCCUGAUAGGGAGAUUGAGUUUGUGGUAGAUCUCGUCCCUGGGACUACCCCAAUAUCAAAGGCACCUUAUAGGAUGGCAUCGGCAGAGCUGAGGGAGCUGAGGGCACAGCUGCAGGAUUUGUUGGACAAAGGCUUCAUUCGACCGAGCGUUUCACCAUAGGGAGCACCCGUUUUGUUCGUCAAGAAAAAGGACGGAUCACUUCGCCUUUGCGUGGAUUAUUGUGAACUUAAUAAGGUCACGAUCAAGAACAAGUAUCCGUUGCCGAGGAUCGACGACUUGUUUGAUCAGCUUCAGGGAUCAUGUGUGUAUUCUAAGAUUUACUUGCAGUCGGGAUACCACCAGUUGAAGAUCAAACCCGAGGAUGUAUCGAAGACGGCUUUUAGAACACGGUAUGGACAUUACGAGUUCACAGUUAUGCCGUUCGGGCUUACUAAUGCCCCGGCAGCUUUUAUGGACCUAAUGAACCAUGUUUUCAAGCCUUAUCUAGACAGGUUCGUCGUGGUGUUCAUCGACGACAUUUUGGUCUACUCUCGAAGUGAUGCAGAUCACGAGGAGCAUUUGAGGAUUGUACUCCAAGUACUUCGGGAAAAGGAGCUUUAUGCCAAGUUGAAGAAAUGUGAAUUUUUGCUUCGAGAGGUAGCUUUCCUUUGACACUUGAUUUCGGGAUCGGGUAUAGCCGUGGAUCCCAAGAAGAUUGAAGCAAUCAAGGAUUGGCCGAGACCGACGAGCGUCACGGAGAUACGAAGCUUCCUUGGAUUGGCCGGUUACUACCGGAGAUUUGUAGAGGGGUUUGCUAAACUGUCUACUCCCCUCACGAGGCUCACGCACAAAGGAGUCAAGUUCAUUUGGAAUGACGCGUGCGAGCGAAGCUUCCAAGAGUUGAAGCAGAGAUUGACGACCGCCCCGAUCUUGACCCUACCAGUAGCUGGAGCAGGGUAUGUGGUUUAUAGUGAUGCUUCACUUAAUGGAUUGGGCUGUGUAUUGAUGCAGGAUGGCAAGGUGAUCGCGUAUGCUUCUCGCCAACUAAAGGAAUAUGAGAAGAACUACCCAACGCAUGAUUUGGAGUUGGCGGCCGUAGUGUUCGCAUUGAAGCUAUGGCGCCACUAUCUUUAUGGCGAGCGGUGUGAAGUAUACACGGAUCACAAGAGCUUAAAGUACCUAUUUACUCAGAAGGAGUUGAACUUGAGGCAGCGCAGAUGGUUGGAGCUACUCAAGGAUUAUGAUCUGACGAUUCUUUACCACCCGGGCAAGGCUAACGUGGUGAUAGAUGCGCUAAGUAGGAAAUCGAUGGAAAACUUAGCGAUGCAUGUUGUGACUCAACCGCAGUUGAUCGAGCAGAUGAAGCGGUUGGAGUUGGAGGUGGUGACUCCUGACACACCCUUGAGAUUGAUGACUUUGGUAGUGCAACCUACUCUUUUGGAUAGAAUUAAAGAAAAGCAAGCUUCCGAUGUAGAGUUGCAAAAGAUUCGAGGUAUGAUGGUUGAUGGUUGCACCGGCGACUUCCUUUUGGACGAUCAGGGAUUGAUGCGUUUCCGUGGGCGGAUUUGUAUACCCGCGGAUUCGGGG
RNAcentral lists this long non-coding RNA (15719 nucleotides) under Ananas comosus (pineapple). Its description in RNAcentral is "long non-coding RNA (ACOM_LNC043014)". The record is from RNAcentral. Lineage: Eukaryota; Viridiplantae; Streptophyta; Magnoliopsida; Poales; Bromeliaceae.